UUUGAUUAUAUUUAAGAAUAAGAAACAAAGCAUGGCUCUUUAUUUUUUAGUUGAAAUAUAUUAUAUCGGUCAGUUUUCUUUUAAUCCCUGAUUUUUGGAGAAAUUAUUACAUGCACCCGGUGCAUAUGUACCAUCUCUCACAAUCAUAUAAAACCUACUCUCUAUAUUGUAAGUAGGGCCUACUUUUCUAUGAGAGAUGGAGCAUUAUUUUUUAGUACACCGGGUGCAUCUAAUAAUUAGCCUGAUUUCUGCUAACAAAUUUUGCACCUGUUCUCUUUUUUUUCCCCCUCAUGUGAAGGAAAGAAAUGCUCUU
Molecule: unclassified non-coding RNA, 313 nt
Filed under: Hevea brasiliensis (rubber tree)
Lineage: Eukaryota; Viridiplantae; Streptophyta; Magnoliopsida; Malpighiales; Euphorbiaceae
Source: RNAcentral